Astatotilapia calliptera (eastern happy) is the source of this 6962-nucleotide long non-coding RNA. Lineage: Eukaryota; Metazoa; Chordata; Actinopteri; Cichliformes; Cichlidae. The record is from Ensembl.
GCGAAAAAUAAAGUUCCAGAGCUCUUGUUGAAGUUAUUACUCAAUUUUGUAACAAAUUUCAAGUAUUCCAUUUCACUUUAAGACAAAUAGGUGAACGAGUUCAUGCAGCUCUGUAGGACUCAUCCUCUGUGAACCAUGAAUAUCUAUUUAAGUCAAUCAAUCUAUUAAAGAGUUGCUGAGAUUUCACAUUCUGAAUGAACAGAAACUCAAAGGUUCUUGCAGGUUAAGUGAUCAGCUACAGCAGCAUCUCAACUCCUGGAAGUACCUUGUAAAAUGAAAGGCAAUAAAGAAGACCAAUGAAUCUCUGGACACAGGUGUAGUAAAAAUGAUUCUUUAAUAUGGAACAAAAUCAGAGCUCAGCUCCAAGGCUCCAUCCACCCAACACACUUUAUAACACUGAUGGGUGGAGGAGAACGAGAAAAUCAACCAGUAAGAUCACAGUCCGCUCGGCCAAAAAACAGGAGAGGCUAAAAAAACAUGGAACGCAAAACCAAAGUGCUACUGGGCUUGACCUCGAGACGCCCUGGCUUCCUUCCCUCCUGACCCAGGAUGUGACCACGUGCACACGCCUUUCUGCUGCCUCCCAGGGCUCUCCCACCUUCUCCUCUACUCCACCCUCAGGAGGUCAGAGGCUCCUCACAAACACAGACGACCCAUUGACCUCUAAAAACUGGGUGAGGUCAGCAUUGAGGUGGAUUAGGAGGAGCAAAGGGGCGUGUGAAGGUCGUUUACGCUGAGUGUGCUGCAAGCUGUGGGUGUGUAGUUCUCAGAGGGACGUGAAGCAAGGCGUCUUGGUUAUUAUCAUGGCUCGCCGUGGAAACGUCUGUGGUUCAGUCCUCCUGCUGUUUUACUCCGAGUAUAUGUGGAAUCUAAUCAGCUUUAAAUUGUUGUUCACUACAGAUUCAGAUGGAAUGUUUUGAAGUUUCUGAGAAAAUGAGAUGAGGGCAGGAGAGAGAGGACGUCUGCGGAGGCCGCCCAGUAAGAACCCAUUACUAUACUAACACAGGGACAUCAACAGAAGUACUACACAGAUAUGUACAGAGCAACCAAGCAACACAUUGGAAUACUGAGUAAUAAAUCUGGUGUGGGAAAGGGUUGGUAAUAAUAGUCCACUACGAAUGCACAUAUCCCACUACUUUUUCGUGCAGUUGGUCCAAUCUUUAAGGCUAUUCUCCUGCUCUUGCUACAAACGGGCAGCAGUGAAGCCACCAAAACAUAGAUUUAAGUCUGUGCUUGACUUUGAAUAUGGCUGCUUUGUGAUUCUGCAUGCUGAGCUGACAGCUACCCAUCUCCUCACACUUUGCAUCAGGAGGGUAAAGAAAAAGAAGUAUGAUUGGGGGUAAGAGAUUUGGGGGGAGUUAUAAGCAUGCCCUCUUUUUUGUGCUAAAUCAUUCUCUGGUCCACAGAGCUCUGUAGAAAAACAAGGUGUUCUUCAGAAAUGUGGAAGGUGAUGAAUGAGAGAUGCUAAUGGUCAAAGGAUCACAGAUAGAUCGGGAAGCACGGAUUACUGUGAAAUUAGACUCCGGUGGUGUGCACAUUACCAGCUGAAUGGGAGAGCAAAUGAACAAUUGAGCAGCGAGAAUGGAAAUCUAUACUUGGCGGACGACUGAAACGUGCGGUGGGAAAAAAACAACAAGAGUGGACAUGAGGAGGAGACACACAUUGGUGGAGGGGGGGGGGGUGGAAGAGACGGGGCAGCUGCCAGCUUCAGAAAACACAGUCAUCCUGCACCUUAAUGCACACUGCAUCACAUGACAAACUACAUCAGAGAGAGGAGGGAGGAGGGAGGCACUGCACAGAGAGCACUAGCACUACCAUGGACGGACACACACCUAACAUACACGCACACACAUACACACUACUGCACAGGGUCCCAGUCUGCGUUCCACCGCACUCUCCUGGCUGCCAGAACCUCGCUGUGUCUUUGUCAAGAAAAGAAAUGAAACAGCAAAAUAACCGAUUAACAAACAAACGGAAAGAAGAACACACACUUUGGAUCCGACUGGCUAGAAUAAAAAAAUAAACCAGAAACGAAACUUAGAAUAUAAAAAGAGCCAGUGGCACUGGGUUUUACAGAAAGCAUUUUUCUCAAUAACUGGCUUUUGAACAGCUCUACGCUUUUUCUUUUAGUCUACCAACUAAAAUCUAUACAGUACUGUCAUUUUUCAUAUAUUUAUAGAUAUUUAUACACUUUACAAAGUUGGCAAAAAUACAUAAAUAAAUACAUUAAAUUAGAUUGUACACAUCACAACUGUGUGUUUUAAGUUAGAGCACUCUUUGUUGAAGAGUUGGGCCACGGCGAGUCGAGAAAAGGAGGUGAAGAAACAGGAGUGUUACCCUCGACAUCCCUCAACGCAAAGAAGUCACCAUCACACUUUGUCAGUAACAUUUCGGAGUAUGGCAUUAGAUCGGUUAAGUGUAUUGCUUAUUACCUACCUGAUUAAAAAUGUCCACAUUAUGGCAGGAGUUAGAGGCUGCUCUAACUGCAUCAAGUCUAUUUACAACCAGCGAGGAAAGUAAGAGACGCGCGCUCUGACGGAUCUGGGUUUAGGGGAAUUUUAUUUUUAGUGUGUCUGUGGACUUUCUGACCCUGUGGGACUCCCUCUACAGGAUGGUGUUACAAAUGAAGGCAAGACUGUAUCCACUGUCCUUCUUGCAGAAGGCUGCUGGGAGUAUCUGCUGUACCAUAUCAUGUCUGUUGGCAGAGACGGUCCUAAAAGUGAAACUGAUAAGCUCCAUCUCAGCACUGUCGACAGGCCCAGCCAGAUACAUAAGGCAAUGACAUAUGAAAAAUAGGGAAGUGGGUGUACUGACACCUGCAGUGAAAAUAACUGGACUAGAGCCCUGUGCAGUUAUUUAUGUAUAUAUUUGAUAAAGCAGUGGGCUGAAUAUGUCUGUCAAGAAGGCACAGGGCACAUUUUGGACAUUUGGAAACAAGUCUGUCCUAUUUUUUAAAAUAUUUUUUUUAAUGAUUAAAAAUAAUUAUUGCCAUAUGGCAAACAUUUAUAGCCUAUAUAGGUUAUUUCUUAUUUCUUCCUCAAGACUGUGAAUUCUUUAAAAAAAAAAAAAGAAAGAAAGAAAGAAAGAAAGAAAGAAAGAAAAGGAAAAGCACAAGAUGGGCCUAUAAUGUGGCAAGUUCAUGUCAGUCACUUGUGCUUAACCAUGAGUCUAACCCUCGAAUAAGAGGCUGACUCACCAGCAUGAAAAUUGUCUUUACGGGGUCAGAUGGAUGGUUUAUGUCCUUCUACUAGGAAUACACUCUGUCCUCAUACAUGCCCAUCCCCAUGCAUGGCCUCCAACAGAGAAAAUAAUGACUGCAAAUUCAAUGAAGACGGCAUCAUCAGUGUCAGAACAGGGCCAAUCCUGCCUAACACAAUGGCAUUACAGUAAAUCCCCAAGCCUGUGAGCAGACAGGGUGAGAUGCGAUGCCAAGCAAACCAGGACAGAGUGGCUCCACGGGGAGGCAUGCAGCUCGCUUGAAAAGCAGGGCGCUGCUGGUUUUGGUGUUUGCAACACAAACGCAACCAAAGCUUUAUGGCAUGAGAAACACAGGCUACGAUUAGCGCCACAUAUCGCACAAUUUCCUGGAGGUGUGGGGGGAGGGUAAAGGGUAUGUGGCAGUGUUGCUACAGCGGAUCCGGGAUGUGUUGGGUAUCACUCCUUCCCUUUGUUUCUCUUGCCCUGACCACACGACACCUCCAACAAAAAUACAGCAGACAUCAAAAGCCCUUGUUCAAGAAGGGCAGGUAUAAUCAGCUUCAGUAUCGUCAACAUCACCACUGUUAUUCAUGAAUAUCAUUGUUUUCGUCAUCAUUUCGAGUGACAAAUGAAAACUCAGCGUACAACAAAUGUUAAUUUUUCACCAACAAUAUUUACAUGAAGUUUUUCAAAAACAGAAAGCUUUUUCUUCUCACGGUUUCGGAAAGAAAUAAACCCCAACACAAGAACACCAAGCACACACAUACAUACACACUGACCAACAGUCAAAUGUGAACAGAAAGAAAUAAAAGAUAUUAUUACUCAUUAUUGUUUUUCAUAUCCAUUUGUUACUAUUCAAAUAAUGCUUACUUAAACCCUGAUUGGGAGAAGUCACAUUGGUUCUCACCAGAUGCUUAAAACAAUCGAAAGGGCGAGUUAGGGGAGGUGAGGUCUGUCUGUACAGGGCGACGCACGCAGAAAAUGACUGGACAAAUGACAAAGGUGACCUGGAGGGGUUCAGGGCUUACUGAGCUGUCAGAACAUGAGUCAGAAAAAUAAAACGUCAACUGCAGAUUCCCUAGAAUGAGAUUAUGACGACGACUGCCUGAUUUUAACCCGUGCAUACACAUUUAAAGUCCUCUAAGACGUAAAAUAACUCUACCCUUAAUCUAAUAUCGUAAAAACUACUGCAAAGCAGGCACCUUUCCAAUAGAGUGACUCAAUGAUGCUCAUCUGAAGAAAGCCAUAUCCAUCAAGGAAAACUGCUUAAGAAUAAGAAAUGGUGCAGGAGAGUAUGACAAGGACAAACAAUAUCAUCAGGCUCAGAAGAAUAUCUUACUAAUCCUUUGGCAAACAGAUGUGACCCUUUCAGCCAAUAAAGCUUUAAGUUAUUUAGAAAGUAAACAGAGGAGGGAAGGCUGCUGGUGACAAUGAUAAAUUUGGGGAUGCACAACCAAGAAUAAACAUCUCAAAGAUAGGAGUCCAGGAAUGACUCAUAUGCUUCACAACGCCAAGCUGAUAACAGAACUCGUGGCAGUGUUCUAGUUUCCGCAUCAGCAAGUGCGAGAGGGUCUGAGAGAGUCAUUAAAUGGGGGACGUGAGGCUAAAUGUGGGUGUCCACAGGCCUGCCAAAGUUUGUUGUGAACGAAUGGAUGUGACUGAGCCGUGCAGCAACCUCUGGACCUGAAUGAGUCUAUGAUUGGUACAAAAAUGCUUUUGGUUGCUAAAGCUAACUUUCCCCUUCAUAACUACUGCACUGGGGGUCUUUUUUUUAAAAAAACUCACCUAUUUGGAGUUUAUUAAGGCUUAAGAUGAUGGGCAUGGCUGUUGUGGUUAACAGGUGUCCCUGCAGCUGGGAGCUCAUCUCAACUAAUUUGAGUCUCUGAACUCCACCUCAGGAGCAUUUCUGUGGAAUUAUCAGAGAAAUAAUAUGGCUUGUUGUUCAAGGUGUUUCCGUUUCGGUUUUGGUCAGUGAGUGUAUGCAUCCUGCUAACCAGGCAUGAUAGCCUCAGCUCAGAUCUUUGCAUUUCAUGCUGUCUUCCAUGUACGAUCACUUCUGUCUACAAAAACCAACAUGGCCCAAAAUGCUAAUGUUCCUGUAGCAAAAUGUGGACUCCACAACAAUUAGGUGAGGACACAGUAGAUAGAUAUAUAAAGUCUAGGAUGGGCUCAGGCACCAAACUAAAAGGGAACCACGAAGAGAUGGAAACCAGUCAUCCAUGAUGUCCUCAGUUGUUCAUGUCUAUGUUUGCGAGCAAGUAUAAUCCUGACUCUACAGCCAAAUUUAGAAUCGGCAGUAGUCAGCACCAUGAGGAUCCCUAAUGAGGAUCCCGGUCUGUUCUCUAAAACCUAAAAGAUAUGGUGCAAAGUCUUAAGCCACCAGUCAUUUCUUUAUAUUGUGUUCAAAAAAUCUAUCUAGAGAUUCAAUCUACUGAAACAUGCAAACAUACAGAAAUAUAGUAUAUAAGGCAAAAACAGGUAUUACAGUUAUGACCACCUUUAUUCUUCAACACAGUCUGGAUCCUACUAAGCAAGCUUUCCUAUAAUUUCUUUAAGUACUCUUCAGGAAUAGUUCUCCAGGCUUCUUGAAGGACAUUCAAAGCUCUUCUUUGGAUGUUGGCUGCCUUUUGUUUGAAUCUCUGUCAAGAUGAUCCCACCCUGCUUCAAAAACGUUGAGCUCCAUAACCAAAAAUGACCCAUUGUGUGUUUUUGUAUCCAGCUUUGCUAUUAUUGCAUUGACAGUGUGUUUGGGAUCAUUGUCAUGGUGAAAGACGAAGCCGUUGCCAAUCAGAUCUUUUCCAGAUGGUGGAUCAAAAUCUUACAGUAUUUUUCUGUGUUCAUUAUUCUAUCAGUUUUGAAAAGAUCCCCAACACCACAGGCUGGAAUCCAGCCCCAAACCAUGACAGAGCCUCCACUGUGUUUUACAGAAUAUUUGUAGAGACUCACUCUUGUACCUCUCUCCUGACCACUUCUGAGGAUAACCUUUCAAAUUUGAAUUCAGCAAUCCAUAAGACCUUUUGUCACUGAUUUUCAGUCCAGUUCUUUUGUUAUUUUUCAUUCUUCAGCAGUUUUUUCAGUUUUCCUUCCUUCAGAUUGGUUUCGUCGUCAGACUAUUUCUGAUGAGGCUUCAGUGAGCAGUAGAUGGAGAUACAGAUCCUGCUGCAGAUAGUUUUUUAGGCCUGCCACUUCUUGUGGCACCUUGACACUUUGUAAGAACACACAGCACACCAUUCUGAGAUACUAAGUUUAUGUCUUAUAGCUCUUUGGGAAUCACCUUGUUGAUACAAGAAUGCUAUUUUAUUCCUGUCAAACUGUGUCCUCUUUCCCACUUUUAAAUUCAACUAAAGAAAUUGUAAAUUGAUGUGUUUUUGCAAGUAACAAACUGUCUAAAGAUGCAAUUAAAAAUUGAUUCUUUGCUAAGUUGUCUGUGUAGACACAACACUGAUUCAUCCUUUGAGUUAGGUGCCUUGUUAUGUUUGAAUGACUCAUAGGUCGGUGAUGAGUGAAUUAACAAAUAAACAAACAAAAAAAACAUUCCUUUCAAAAGGGUUAUGAACUGGACUGAAAAUGGUUGAAAAUGUAGUCAAUGUCAAGAGAAAAUCAUAGUAAGACCUUCAGAAAGCCUGGAGAACUAUUACUCAAGACCACUUUAUGAAAACCUGCAAGCUGACAGUAAGCAAAAUAUAAAGAAAUGAGGGGCGGCUCAAGACUUUUCCUACGUACUCUACCUUGACAAUAAAGGCUGGCAUCAGCAUGCCAGCAUA